This 205-nucleotide long non-coding RNA is filed under the name Lathyrus oleraceus (garden pea). RNAcentral's name for it is "Pisum sativum (pea) long non-coding RNA (PSAT_LNC036682)". The record is from RNAcentral. Lineage: Eukaryota; Viridiplantae; Streptophyta; Magnoliopsida; Fabales; Fabaceae.
AAAAUAUGUAAAGUACCUACACUUGACAAUGUUUCUGACCCACUGACAAAGCCUCUUGCGCAGCAGAAGCAUGAUGGCCAUACUAGAUCAAUGGGCAUACAGGGUAUGUCUGAUUGGCUCUAGUGCUAGUGGGAGAUUGUUGGUGUAAGCCCUAGAGGCCAAUACUUUUGGUACUUGUAUCGAAUUAUUUAUUAAUAAUAAAAGG